Myotis daubentonii (Daubenton's bat) is the source of this 2910-nucleotide long non-coding RNA. RefSeq lists it as uncharacterized. The record is from RefSeq and is a predicted model, not a curated record. NCBI's taxonomy places the organism in Eukaryota, Metazoa, Chordata, Mammalia, Chiroptera, Vespertilionidae.
UCAGUGGGCGCCGGCGCCCGGGCUGGGCUGCGGGGCGGGGGCAGCGGCAGCACCACCACGUGGCUGCCCGGCGCCGGCCCCGCCGGCCGGAUCCCGGGAGCGGGAAGGGAGGUGCUAACCAUUCCCCUCCCCUUCCACCCGCGCGGCCCGAAAUUCCGCGAGUCAGGUGACCCGGCCCGCGCUCCGGCCCGACCUGCAGAAGGUGCUCCCCGCGGGGCGGCGCCCCAUCCCCUGGGCGCGCGCUCCGGGCGGCCGUGGCCUGGGUCGUGGAUCGUGGGAUCCUCCCCCCCGGACGCGUCUCAGCAUCUUCGCCUAAAGUCUUUUAGGAAUGCUAAUUGGAUUUAGCAUUCAUUGAGCACCACCCCUGGAUGGAGAUCAGGCCCAGGUAAAAGUGUUUGAGAGAAGAAAACACAGAUAAAAUAACCACCCCACCUGCAGAAAGUUGGUAAAAACUUUCUGUCAAUAGAAAAAUUACCCUUAAAUCCAGGUCACUGUGGUGUGAUAUGUCUUACUAGGAGCAAUAAGAACAAGUUUUACUAACCUGCCACUUGAACUUCGCCAAGUGUUUGAAUGUUUCCUGGUCCCACUUUCCUCGUCAGUAAACGAGAACAUCAAAUGGCAUGGCCUCGGAACUGUUCCCGCUCCAGCUUUCUAAGCCCAUGCUGAUGGCCUCAAGAGCCCUCACAAGCAAUGUUGUCUUACAUUCCACAACACAGCCUUGCUCUCCAGUUGUCCUGGCAGGCCAGUCUUGCCAUACCAGUAACAUCCUAAACUCCUAAGAGGGUUGCCAUUCAGGACUUAGAGGAUCUGUAAAUGGAAUUCAUUCAUUGGUGGGGCCAAGUUUUCAUUUUCAGAGUUAAAUAUUACAUCCCUUCUUUCUCGCUCCAUUUCUCAUCAGUCUUCCAGAGGAUGAACUUCUUAAGUCGGGGUUACCAAAGCUAAGACUCUGUUGGGCUCACAGGAAACUGUCCCGGAAGGAGGAAAUAGAGAUAGUAUCACACGAAGGCCAAAAAGUAACGCUCCACGCGAUUGGGUGUUUGGUCAGGUUCUGACUGCACUUCUGGGUCCACUUGGAGGCAGUGUGACUGAGAGGAACCUGGCAACACUGGGCCAGGCCCGAGAACGGAACAAAAACGCCAUCGGGAGGUUGGAGGGAGAUAACCCACAGAGAAAAAUAAAGCCCAACUACUGAUAGAAAAUCCGCUUUUCUGUAUUUUCUUGGGAAUGUUUCAAAUAGGCGGAAACUGUGACCUGGGAGAAAUUAACAAGGCGCUGAAACUGAGUUUUGAAUAGACCGCCCAAAUCAUAGGACCAGAAAGAGGCCAUGAAUCAAAGCUUGGGAUGCCCAGCUCCAGAGUGGUCUUCUUACCCAGCACCCUGUGCUGCCUUCAGGCCACCUCUGUUUCUAAACACUCUCAUGUUGACCGCAGUGCUCCCGCCACCUCUGGCGCAGGACUGGGUCAGAGAGGAGUAGAGCCCAGGUGUCGUUACCGUGGGACAGGCAACGGACACGGACAGCUCCAUCGUGGUGGCCACUCCAUCUGCUAAAGGAACGUUCUCAGAUCAAUCCGAAUGGCCACUGUGCUGGCAGAACAAGAAGAUGAAGAGUGUGAGCACGUUGCUGACUGCCAGGUGACAAGCCAGAAGAGACAGAAUUGGAGGAGCCAGAAAGAUCCCUGCGGGAACAGUCCGUCCACAGAGCUGCAUGGACCAGGAGGCCACAGAGGCUGCAGAAGCAGGAAGAGAGGCCGAGGUGACUUCCUCUCGUGAUUCCUAGAACCCUUAGAACACAGAUGCCGAGAAGAUGAACUGGCUUCACAGUAAUAGACGGAUAAAAGGGAGGGCGCAGGGUUCCGGUGUGAAGUAUAUGGAGGUCACUCUUGGCCAACCAGAGGGGAACUUGUCCUGUCGAAUUAUGUAACAGGGGAGUGAGUUUGAGAAGACUCAUUUGGCACUGAGUUGGUCUGGGAGUGUUGGAGGUCUGAGUGGGUCUCAUACUUGCUUUGUGGACUUCUGGGAAGUCUUUGAAAACAUUUCAGUUUAAAGUGUGUGCCUUAAGAGGACUCUCCAUUCACGUCCAACAUCGCACGCUCAUAUUAAGAAAUAUAAACGAUGAGAACAUCCGGUGUGUUCUUUCUCAUGCUGAUCCUCGCUCCCUGGCCACACGGCCUUCUGCUCCAGGUCUGGGCGUUCUUACUCGUGUGCUCCGUUCAGAGCGGUGGGAAGUGAUCCGAGGUUAGAUGGGCAUUUUGGAGAAAGUUUAGAAUAGCAGGUGUGAGGCCAGUUCUAUGAGGAUCAGAAAGGCUGGUAUCUGGGCAGGAGUCCUCCCGGCAUGGCCUAAAGGGGGCGCUUCUCCAGCCCAAAGCGGGUGUCGGCUACUGGGCAGCCAUCACGAUGGACUCUCUCCUAUUUUCGCUUCCUUAUUGAACAUGGAGUAAACACGAGAGAUGAAAGAAAGAAGGGAGGAAUGAAAGAAAGAUAGAAGAAAAGACAUUGUCAGGUGGUGUGUUUGACUUCUCCACUUCCUGCAAUUCCGGGUAAUCUCUCUUGGCCCCCGUUUCUUCAUCUGCAAAAUAGGACAAAUAUUAGUACCUGACUCUUGGGUUAUUCUGGAGAUUAAUUAAAUCAUGUGAAGCAUGUACAAUAAUAGUGCCUGGCACAAGUAAGAGGUAAAUACAUAAUAUUGGUGAUUAUUACUAAUAUGGAGAAGCAUAAGAGAUUCAUAGAAUCUGGUGAGAAAUAGUGCUAUCUAGUGAAAUCAAUUCAACUGUUAUUAAAAAUGUCAUAAGUGCCCUGGCUUAGUUGGUUGGGCAACACCAGUGCACCUAAAGGUUGCCCGUUUGAUUCCCAGCCAGUUCGAUGGCCAGGUUGCAGGCUCAAUCCCCAGUAAGGAGUGGGCAAGAGGCAACC